GCUGUAAUAGGCGCAGUACUUGCUCUCUUUAUCAUUACCAUCUUUAUAAUAGUGUUACUGACUCCCAGAAAAAAGCGAUCAUCUUAUUUGGACAAAAUGAUUGAUCUUCCACCAACACACAAGCCUACAUCUUCCUAUGAGAAAAGAAAUAUUUCUCGUUCUCAGAAAGAAAUAAUCAAUGCAGACUAUGUGCAAGGGACAAGCUCGUUGAAGAGAGCCGGUUGGCUCAAUGAAAACCGGAGCCGAAAGGAAAAGAUACAGGAGUUGCAUGCUUUUUCAGUAGAAAAUGAUAAAUUGCAGCCGAUUUAGCUAUGAAGAUGAAAAUCCUGCAUCUCAAAACAGAGAUCAACAAAAGUACCCAGCACCGAAAGAAACAAAUUGCAAAGAUUGGAUCAAUAAGAAACAUCCACAUAUAGGCAAUGGAAGAAUAUAUAUCAAUCCCAGGGAACAUUAUGUAUGAUUGUUUGCGAACUAAUGUUGAAAGAUAUAUUACUUUGUCUAAUCAUAAUUUUACCUAACAUUUUAUAAUCUCUGUGUUUAAGUUAGUGGUUUGCUUUUUUGUGAAAAAAUAUAAAUGUUUAAAGUAUGUCAUCAACCA
RNAcentral lists this long non-coding RNA (598 nucleotides) under Notechis scutatus (mainland tiger snake). RNAcentral's name for it is "lncRNA (ENSNSUG00000015962.1)". Lineage: Eukaryota; Metazoa; Chordata; Lepidosauria; Squamata; Elapidae. The record is from RNAcentral.